GACGAACGCUGGCGGCGUGCUUAACACAUGCAAGUCGAACGGAAAGGCCCUGCUUUUGUGGGGUGCUCGAGUGGCGAACGGGUGAGUAACACGUGAGUAACCUGCCCUUGACUUUGGGAUAACUUCAGGAAACUGGGGCUAAUACCGGAUAGGAGCUCCUGCUGCAUGGUGGGGGUUGGAAAGUUUCGGCGGUUGGGGAUGGACUCGCGGCGUAUCGGCUUGUUGGUGGGGUAGUGGCUCACCAAGGCUUUGACGGGUAGCCGGCCUGAGAGGGUGACCGGUCAGAGGGGGAGCGGGGCAAGGUGGGGACUAAGAAGGGACGCAGCAGCGGGGGGGAGGGGACAGUGGGAGAAAGGGUGAAGUGGCGGGGAGCCGAGGGGGGCGGAGGCGUUCGGGGGGUGAAGCCCUUGGGUUAGUAAACCAGGUCCGCCUGGUACGUGGGUGGGUUGACGGUAGUUGGAAAAGAAGCGCCGGCUAACUACGUG
RNAcentral lists this ribosomal RNA (485 nucleotides) under uncultured bacterium. Its description in RNAcentral is "partial 16S ribosomal RNA". The stretch from base 20 to 332 matches the Rfam family "Bacterial small subunit ribosomal RNA", at positions 47 to 358 of the family's 1533-position model. The record is from RNAcentral.